UUCAAAGAUUAAGCCAUGCAUGUCUAAGUAUAAGCAAUUAUACAGCGAAACUGCGAAUGGCUCAUUAUAUAAGUUAUCGUUUAUUUGAUAGUACCUUACUACAUGGAUAACCGUGGUAAUUCUAGAGCUAAUACAUGCUAAAAAUCCCAACUUCGGAAGGGAUGUAUUUAUUAGAUUAAAAACCAAUGCCCUCCGGGGCUCACUGGUGAUUCAUAAUAACUUCUCGAAUCGCAUGGCCUUGCGCCGGCGAUGGUUCAUUCAAAUUUCUUCCCUAUCAACUUUCGAUGUUUGGGUAUUGGCCAAACAUGGUUGCAACGGGUAACGGAGGGUUAGGGCUCGACCCCGGAGAAGGAGCCUGAGAAACGGCUACUACAUCCAAGGAAGGCAGCAGGCGCGCAAAUUACCCAAUCCCGACUCGGGGAGGUAGUGACAAUAAAUACUGAUACAGGGCUCUUUUGGGUCUUGUAAUUGGAAUGAGUACAAUUUAAAUCCCUUAACGAGGAACAAUUGGAGGGCAAGUCUGGUGCCAGCAGCCGCGGUAAUUCCAGCUCCAAUAGCGUAUAUUAAAGUUGUUGUGGUUAAAAAGCUCGUAGUUGAACCUUGGGCCUGGCUGGCCGGUCCGCCUCACCGCGUGUACUGGUCCGGCCGGGCCUUUCCCUCUGUGGAACCCCAUGCCCUUCACUGGGUGUGGCGGGGAAACAGGACUUUUACUGUGAAAAAAUUAGAGUGCUCCAGGCAGGCCUAUGCUCGAAUACAUUAGCAUGGAAUAAUAGAAUAGGACGUGUGGUUCUAUUUUGUUGGUUUCUAGGACCGCCGUAAUGAUUAAUAGGGACAGUCGGGGGCAUCAGUAUUCAAUUGUCAGAGGUGAAAUUCUUGGAUUUAUUGAAGACUAACUACUGCGAAAGCAUUUGCCAAGGAUGUUUUCAUUAAUCAGGAACGAAAGUUAGGGGAUCGAAGACGAUCAGAUACCGUCGUAGUCUUAACCAUAAACUAUGCCGACUAGGGAUCGGACGGUGUUAUAUUUUGACCCGUUCGGCACCUUACGAGAAAUCAAAGUGCUUGGCUCCAGGGGAGUUGCCCGCC
RNAcentral lists this ribosomal RNA (1083 nucleotides) under Fusarium solani. RNAcentral describes it as "SSU rRNA". It matches the Rfam family "Eukaryotic small subunit ribosomal RNA", at positions 36 to 1133 of the family's 1831-position model. The record is from RNAcentral. Lineage: Eukaryota; Fungi; Ascomycota; Sordariomycetes; Hypocreales; Nectriaceae.